RNAcentral lists this ribosomal RNA (445 nucleotides) under uncultured bacterium. RNAcentral describes it as "partial 16S ribosomal RNA". It matches the Rfam family "Bacterial small subunit ribosomal RNA", at positions 354 to 796 of the family's 1533-position model. The record is from RNAcentral.
GUGAGGAAUAUUGGUCAAUGGGCGGGAGCCUGAACCAGCCAAGUCGCGUGAAGGAAGAAGGAUCUAUGGUUCGUAAACUUCUUUUGCAGGGGAAUAAAGUGCAGGACGUGUCCUGUUUUGUAUGUACCCUGAGAAUAAGGAUCGGCUAACUCCGUGCCGGCAGCCGCGGUAAUACGGAGGAUCCGAGCGUUAUCCGGAUUUAUUGGGUUUAAAGGGUGCGUAGGUGGUUUGAUAAGUCAGCGGUGAAAGUUUGCAGCUUAAAUGUAAAAAUGCCGUUGAAACUGUCGGACUGGAGUGUAAAUGAGGUAGGCGGAAUGCGUGGUGUAGCGGUGAAAUGCAUAGAUAUCACGCAGAACUCCGAUUGCGAAGGCAGCUUACUGGGAUGCAACUGACACUGAUGCACGAAAGCGUGGGUAUCAAACAGGAUUAGAUACCCUGGUAGUCC